Molecule: long non-coding RNA, 2587 nt
Organism: Ctenopharyngodon idella (grass carp)
Lineage: Eukaryota; Metazoa; Chordata; Actinopteri; Cypriniformes; Xenocyprididae
Exons: 2
Source: RefSeq, a predicted model, not a curated record
GAAUAGCAAACAAAUUUAUUUUCUCUUUACAAAUGAAUUUUAGCCUAAAUAAGUAACAUAUCUUUAACUUUUGAAAGACAAGAUUUUGUUCUAAAGGUUUGCUGAAGAGCCAAUGACGUCAAUAUCGAUAAACGCAAAACGCACCCCGGAGCGCUAUUGUAAGGAUCUUUCUCUCCGCUGAUACCCGGCCGGAGCGCGGCUGGACCCGAACUGCCUCCCUGAGGAACUCCUGCUGGAAUGGUUUGAGUGCGCAGAGCGCAGCAGAGGUUAGAGUAGCAGAUAAAAAGGGGAAUGAGGGUGCCGAGCGCGCGGUUUUUAGAAAAACCAGUGUAUUUACACGCUUCAUCUCGUCUCCAAGUCCUCAUUAGGUUGUUAACCUCUUGUUCACAUGAAAAGCUGCCGCGCCGCGCAGGACCCUUGAGCGCAGCAAUGGCAUUCCCCUAAAGGCACAGAACAAAGCGCUUAAAAUAACUGCGUUAAAAUAAGCUUUUAUUGGCUUACUCGGGAUGGACGCUUGAUGAGGUUUGCUAUUUAUUUAAAAAUAUAUUUUUCAUAAUUGUUUAUUUAGCCUAUAAGUAUUAAUUUUGUAAUUAUUCCAUUUAUUUGUCCGUGAACGUUUUUAAUCCAUGCAAUUAACCAAAUAACCAGGCCUAGGUAUAUCAUUUGGUGGGAAAUAGUUCCUAUAGAGGAUAUUACAAAACAAGUUUAUUUAAUCUGCGUAAAAGACAAAAUGAAACGGAGCUGUCUACUUAAUUUCAAAUCUUAAUGCAAUCUGUUGGUGGGUAAAUACUAUUUAGCCUAUAAUAUUCUGGUCUUUUCUUUUUCUUCAUACACUCUAAAAAAAAUGCUGGGUUAAAAACAACCCAAUUUGAAAAUGGACAAACCCAGCGAUUGGACUGUUUUAACCCAGUGGUUGGGUUAAAUGUUUGCCCAACCUGCUGCACUGUAAAAAAAAAAAAAAAAAAAGGGAUUGUUGGUUUAACGUAAAAAUGUAAGUUACCUGGUUGCCUUAACAAAUUUGAGUUAAUACAAUGAAGGCGAUUGGUUUAAUCAACAGAAACUCAAAAUUAUCUAAACUACAUUAAUAAUUGAAGUUGAUUUGGGUAGUUUUAUUUAACUCAACCAUUGUUUAAAAAUAACUGUUUGCUUAAAAUGAACCCAAAAUAGGUUGGAAAUUAACAUUUAUUAAUAUGUUUAAUAAAUAAACAUUUACUAAUAAGUUUAAUUAACAAUAAUUAAACAAAAUUUAUUAAAUGAUUUUGUUUCCAAUGUUUUGGGGACAUUUUAAGCCAGUCAUAUAGUAAUUUUACAACAAUAGUUGGGUUCAAUAAAACUGCCCAGCACGUUGGGCAAACAUUUAACCCAACCACUGGGUUAAAACAACCCAAUCGCUGGGUUUGUCCAUUUUCAACCCAACUUGGGUUUUUUAACCCAGGAUUUUUUUUUUAGAGUGUAAGAUGAGAAAUAACUUUAUCAAGGCGUCCUAAUGUAACACGCCAUUUUAAAAAUAAUAAAAAAAACAACAUAUUACUGUAAUCUUGCUGUAGCCUAUAGACGCACUUCCACUUUUUACACCAAGGAUGCACAAACGCCGAUCAUGACAGAUGAAAUGAUGCGAGUGUGUGUUCAGGCAGCAGCCAAUUAAAAUGCGGCCUCCAUCCCUCCACAUCUGCCUCCCUUUACAAACGAAUCAAACAGAAAAGCAGGAACCCAGUGAAAGAGCGCUCAUUGAGAUCACAGAUGGAGUAUAGGUUUUUGCAAGAAAUUUGAGAAACACCAUUGUCCCAAAUCCAAACUCAAUGUGGUCCCUCACAAUGGUUCGGGCUUUGAGCUGCGCCGACUCAAUUGGCCUUGUUUUUUAAACUUGAAGUGUUGAGCACAAAGACCGGCCUCCUAAAUGUCACAACCGCUCCAAGUGGGGCUCUGCAGCGCGAUGCUGUCUAAAAAAAGGAAAAAGAACACAAUUAUGAAGCAAUAAUUACUCUGCUUCUCUUCGCACGCCACUGCGUCUAUUCAGACCCCUUUAGCCCCAUUUAAUGCUUUAUCCUCGUCCACGAUAAUCCGAAUACCACAGCUUUAUUAUUUUUUCUUCUCCCUUGCAGAAUUUUCUUAUGAGACGGGAGUGGGAAACGGGGCUUGUGCUAACCUGGACAAUGGCCGUGUCAACUUACUUUCUGGACAACUUUUUAAUAUCGAAAGAUUAAUGCUCAGUGUCACCGCGGCAAGCUGCUGAACACUACGUGAAAUAUUUAAUAAAGGCACCCGUUUUACCUUUUCUGCAAGUAGGCCUAGAAAACUAUUAUUUGGCACAGUUCAUUUUACUCACAGAAAUAAAUUAAUCAAGUAGUGUCUUAAUUUAAAUUGUGAAAAGUGAAAAUUCUGAUAGGCUAUCGCAUUUUUUUUAGACCACGUGUCAAAUCUGGUGAAUGCUGACAAUGUCGUCAACGACAACACCACCGAUAAACAAAUACAUCAAUUUUGAAUAUGCCUAUUGAUAUUAUUAAUACAGCUCUGGUAAAAGUAUAAAACACAUCUUUGACAUCUUUAUUCAAUGCAAAAAAAAAAAACAAAAAAAAAAAAAGUAAAA